Molecule: small nuclear RNA, 105 nt
Organism: Jaculus jaculus (lesser Egyptian jerboa)
Lineage: Eukaryota; Metazoa; Chordata; Mammalia; Rodentia; Dipodidae
Source: Ensembl
GUGCUCUCUUUGGCAACACACACUAAAAUCAGAAUGAUGCAGGGAAGAUUAGCAUGGCCCCUGAACAAGGAUGACAUGUAAAUUCGUAAAGAGUUCCAUAUUAAA